RNAcentral lists this ribosomal RNA (502 nucleotides) under uncultured crenarchaeote. RNAcentral's name for it is "bacterial SSU rRNA". It matches the Rfam family "Archaeal small subunit ribosomal RNA", at positions 483 to 985 of the family's 1478-position model. Lineage: Archaea; Thermoproteati; Thermoproteota. The record is from RNAcentral.
UCCGAGUGGUGUGGAUGUUUAUUGGGCCCAAAGCAUCCGUAGCUGGCUAGGUCAGUCCCUUGUUAAAUCCACCGAAUUAAUCGUUGGAUUGCGGGGGAUACUGCUUGGCUAGGGGACGAGAGAGGCAGACGGUAUUUUCGGGGUAGGGGUGAAAUCCUAUAAUCCCGAGAAGACCACCAGUGGCGAAGGCUGUCUGCUAGAACGCGCCCGACGGUGAGGGAUGAAAGCUGGGGGAGCGAACCGGAUUAGAUACCCGGGUAGUCCCAGCUGUAAACGAUGCAGGCUAGGUGUUUGGACGGCCACGUGCCGUUCUAGUGCCGCAGGGAAGCUGUUAAGCCUGCCGCCUGGGGAGUACGAUCGCAAGAUUGAAACUUAAAGGAAUUGGCGGGGGAGCACCACAAGGGGUGAAGCUUGCGGUUUAAUUGGAGUCAACGCCGGAAAUCUCACCGGGAGCGACAGCAGUGUGAAGGCCAGAUUAAAGGUCUUGCCAGACGAGCUGAGA